AUUUGAUGGCAUCAUUAAAUAUUGAAAGCUCCGGCGGAUAGAGAUGGGCACGCGCAAGAUUAGCUAGUUGGUGAGGUAACGGCUCACCAAGGCAAUGAUCGUUUAGGGGCCUGAGAGGGUGAUCCCCCACACUGGUACUGAGACACGGACCAGACUCCUACGGGAGGCAGCAGUGAGGAAUAUUGGUCAAUGGGUGCAAGCCUGAACCAGCCAUCCCGCGUGAAGGACGACUGCCUAUGGGUUGUAAACUUCUUUUGUAUAGGGAUAAACCUACUCUCGUGAGAGUAGCUGAAGGUACUAUACGAAUAAGCACCGGCUAACUCCGUG
RNAcentral lists this ribosomal RNA (327 nucleotides) under uncultured bacterium. RNAcentral describes it as "bacterial SSU rRNA". It matches the Rfam family "Bacterial small subunit ribosomal RNA", at positions 180 to 507 of the family's 1533-position model. The record is from RNAcentral.